This 84-nucleotide transfer RNA is filed under the name Cellulomonas hominis. RNAcentral describes it as "tRNA-Gly". The record is from RNAcentral. Lineage: Bacteria; Bacillati; Actinomycetota; Actinomycetes; Micrococcales; Cellulomonadaceae.
GGGGGCGGAGGCGCUGCGGGGCGCCCUGCGGCUGGCCCCGCUGCACGAGCUCACCGGGGGCGCUCCGCCGCGCCCCGUCCCCCC